This 253-nucleotide ribosomal RNA is filed under the name uncultured bacterium. Its description in RNAcentral is "partial 16S ribosomal RNA". It matches the Rfam family "Bacterial small subunit ribosomal RNA", at positions 524 to 776 of the family's 1533-position model. The record is from RNAcentral.
UACAGGGGGGUCAAGCGUUGUUCGGAAUUACUGGGCGUAAAGGGUCUGUAGGUGGCUUGCUAAGUCAGACGUGAAAUCCCUCAGCUUAACUGGGGAACUGCGUCUGAUACUGGCAAGCUUGAGUGCAGGAGAGGAACGCGGAAUUCCAGGUGUAGCGGUGAAAUGCGUAGAUAUCUGGAGGAACUCCGGUGGCGAAGGCGGCAUCCUGGACCGGCAUUGACGCUGAGGCGCGAAAGCUAGGGGAGCAAACGGG